This 274-nucleotide ribosomal RNA is filed under the name uncultured bacterium. Its description in RNAcentral is "partial 16S ribosomal RNA". It matches the Rfam family "Bacterial small subunit ribosomal RNA", at positions 523 to 796 of the family's 1533-position model. The record is from RNAcentral.
CAACGUAGGUGGCGAACGUUAUCCGGAUUUACUGGGCGUAAAGCGCUCGCAGGCGGCUUCGUAAGUCUGACGUGAAAGCUCCCGGCUUAACUGGGAGAGGCCGUUGGAUACUGCGGAGCUUGAGGGCAGGAGAGGAGAGUGGAAUUCCCGGUGUAGCGGUGGAAUGCGUAGAUAUCGGGAGGAACUCCAGUGGCGAAGGCGACUCUCUGGCCUGACCCUGACGCUCAGGAGCGAAAGCGUGGGGAGCGAACAGGAUUAGAAACCCUAGUAGUCC